Molecule: non-coding RNA, 595 nt
Organism: Nicotiana tabacum (common tobacco)
Lineage: Eukaryota; Viridiplantae; Streptophyta; Magnoliopsida; Solanales; Solanaceae
Source: RefSeq, a predicted model, not a curated record
AUUAAGAAUCUUGAAACAACAAAUCUUCUAUUUAGCCAAAGAGUAGCAACACAGUAACGUUUUCUUGAAGCAACAAAUCUUAUAUUUUGCCAAAGAGUAGUAAUACAGUAACGUUUAGAAACAAGAACUUUGAAAUCAGAAAACGUUCGAGGCAAACAUGAUUUCAUUCUAACGUCAAAGAAUCAAGGUGUAAAUUUCACAAAAGCAGAUUCAUUCAAAUAAUUCAAGAAAGAGGGAUGCUGCAUUUCAUGCAUGCAGGGUCAGACAGACAGACAGGUAGACCUCCUCAGUAGGUGUUUCCGGAGAUCAACUUUAUCGGUAAGCUCCCCUUCUCUCGGAGUUACCGGGGCUAGCAGUGGGGUGUGUAUCUUGUGUAUAUAUGUAGAUAGGUUAUGGGUAGGUCGGGGCCCUGUUCCGAUCAUAGUACAUCUAUCAUUAGAGGCUUGUAGAUAUGUCCUGUCAGUUAAUGCAGUAUGUUGGACUGGUAGUCCCCGUACGUAUAUUUUGUUGGCUUGUCAGUUGUAGUAAAUAUGACGGCCUUGCCGGCCCAGCCUUAUGUUGAUGGUUAGUCAACGUUAGUCUCUAUUCAGUUUUA